This 401-nucleotide ribosomal RNA is filed under the name Clostridioides difficile. RNAcentral describes it as "bacterial SSU rRNA". It matches the Rfam family "Bacterial small subunit ribosomal RNA", at positions 1136 to 1533 of the family's 1533-position model. The record is from RNAcentral. Lineage: Bacteria; Bacillati; Bacillota; Clostridia; Peptostreptococcales; Peptostreptococcaceae.
CACUCUAGAGAGACUGCCAGGGAUAACCUGGAGGAAGGUGGGGAUGACGUCAAAUCAUCAUGCCCCUUAUGCUUAGGGCUACACACGUGCUACAAUGGGUAGUACAGAGGGUUGCCAAGCCGUAAGGUGGAGCUAAUCCCUUAAAGCUACUCUCAGUUCGGAUUGUAGGCUGAAACUCGCCUACAUGAAGCUGGAGUUACUAGUAAUCGCAGAUCAGAAUGCUGCGGUGAAUGCGUUCCCGGGUCUUGUACACACCGCCCGUCACACCACGGGCGUUGGAGACGCCCGAAGCCGAUUAUCUAACCUUUUGGAAGAAGUCGUCGAAGGUGGAAUCAAUAACUGGGGUGAAGUCGUAACAAGGUAGCCGUAUCGGAAGGUGCGGCUGGAUCACCUCCUUUCUA